GGAUAUAGCUCAGUGGUAGAGCAUAUGCUUAGUAUGCACGAGGCCCUGGGUUCAAUCCCCAGUACCUCCA
This 70-nucleotide transfer RNA is filed under the name Camelus bactrianus (Bactrian camel). It matches the Rfam family "tRNA". From Rfam's summary of the family: Transfer RNA (tRNA) molecules are approximately 80 nucleotides in length. Their secondary structure includes four short double-helical elements and three loops (D, anti-codon, and T loops). Further hydrogen bonds mediate the characteristic L-shaped molecular structure. tRNAs have two regions of fundamental functional importance: the anti-codon, which is responsible for specific mRNA codon recognition, and the 3' end, to which the tRNAs corresponding amino acid is attached (by aminoacyl-tRNA synthetases). tRNAs cope with the degeneracy of the genetic code in two manners: having more than one tRNA (with a specific anti-codon) for a particular amino acid; and 'wobble' base-pairing, i.e. permitting non-standard base-pairing at the 3rd anti-codon position. RNAcentral also lists the same sequence under 2 other names. The record is from Rfam by way of RNAcentral. Lineage: Eukaryota; Metazoa; Chordata; Mammalia; Artiodactyla; Camelidae.